CUGAGGCGGGAGAAUCGCUUGAACCUGGGAGGCCGAGCUUGCAGUGAGCCGAGAUCGCACCACUGCACUCCAGCCUGGGUGGCAGAACGAGACUCCAUCUCAAAAAAAAAAAAAAAAAUUAUUAGUAGAGAUGAGGUCUUACUAUGUUAACCAGGCUGGUCUCAAACUCUUGGAUUCAAGUGAUCCUCCUGCCUCAAUCUCCCAAAGUGCUGUGAUUAUAAGUGUGAGCCACUGUGCCUGGCCUGUAACCUUUGUUUUGACAAAUGGAUAGUAUUAAAGGAAAUUUUCUUGAUACGCAGUUUAGUCUGUUCUUGGACAAGCAAUGCAGUAGGUUUGACUUUGAGUGCUUUAUUACUAACACUUUCUGGCCAGGCCACAGUUAAGGUCCGGUUGGAAAACACUUGUUGAGGUUUGAAUUGUAACCUUUUUACUGGAUGAUAGGGUAUUUUUUAGCCCAUAGAUAAACUUGCUUAAAAAACCAAGAAAGACACUGAAAUCUCAGUCUAUACAUAGUUUCAUCAGUGUUUAUUGGGAACUGUGUUCUGGAUAAAGCAAUCGUAUGUAUACAUUUUUAUUAUGUAAUGUAUAAGUGAUUUGUAAAUUAUAAAGAUCUCCUACGAUACUGUGGUGUCUUCUAGAUAGAAAAUAUAUCUUUCUAAAAUGUGUGCCUAAUUCUAGUGUAGUGUCAAUUUAUAGUACACAAUAAAUAUUUAAUGAAUAAACAUUA
RNAcentral lists this long non-coding RNA (727 nucleotides) under Homo sapiens (human). Its description in RNAcentral is "HSALNT0375528". The record is from RNAcentral. Lineage: Eukaryota; Metazoa; Chordata; Mammalia; Primates; Hominidae.